RNAcentral lists this ribosomal RNA (831 nucleotides) under Salmonella enterica subsp. enterica. RNAcentral describes it as "partial 23S ribosomal RNA". It matches the Rfam family "Bacterial large subunit ribosomal RNA", at positions 1 to 1232 of the family's 2925-position model. The record is from RNAcentral. Lineage: Bacteria; Pseudomonadati; Pseudomonadota; Gammaproteobacteria; Enterobacterales; Enterobacteriaceae.
CCACCACUAAGCCAGUGGUGAACUCCACAUCCGCAUCCUUUGCUGAGGAUACGGUUAACGGAGCGAAAGCGACGUUCAACCGCAAAACAAGCAGAGGGGGCUUAGUGGUGGGGUGACUGCGUACCUUUUGUAUAAUGGGUCAGCGACUUAUAUUCUGUAGCAAGGUUAACCGAAUAGGGGAGCCGGAGGGAAACCGAGUCUUAAUUGGGCGUUAAGUUGCAGGGUAUAGACCCGAAACCCGGUGAUCUAGCCAUGGGCAGGUUGAAGGUUGGGUAACACUAACUGGAGGACCGAACCGACUAAUGUUGAAAAAUUAGCGGAUGACCUGUGGCUGGGGGUGAAAGGCCAAUCAAACCGGGAGAUAGCUGGUUCUCCCCGAAAGCUAUUUAGGUAGCGCCUCGUGAAUUCAUCUCCGGGGGUAGAGCACUGUUUCGGCUAGGGGGCCAUCCCGGCUUACCAACCCGAUGCAAACUGCGAAUACCGGAGAAUGUUAUCACGGGAGACACACGGCGGGUGCUAACGUCCGUCGUGAAGAGGGAAACAACCCAGACCGCCAGCUAAGGUCCCAAAGUCAUGGUUAAGUGGGAAACGAUGUGGGAAGGCCCAGACAGCCAGGAUGUUGGCUUAGAAGCAGCCAUCAUUUAAAGAAAGCGUAAUAGCUCACUGGUCGAGUCGGCCUGCGCGGAAGAUGUAACGGGGCUAAACCAUGCACCGAAGCUGCGGCAGCGAACGUAUCACCCAAGACAACUUUACGGAGUUGACGAUUGACGGAGCGAAGCGACGUCAAAGCGUUCAUUAAAGUCGAGUUGGCUUAGGGAUACGUUCGUUGGG